AGUGAACGCUGGCGGUAGGCCUAACACAUGCAAGUCGAACGGCAGCACAGUAAGAGCUUGCUCUUACGGGUGGCGAGUGGCGGACGGGUGAGGAAUACAUCGGAAUCUACUUUUUCGUGGGGGAUAACGUAGGGAAACUUAGGUUAUUACCGCAAACGACCUACGGGUGAAAGCGGGGGAUCUUGGGACUUUGGGGGAUUGAAUAACCGGUUGUCGGAUUAGUUAGUUGGCGGGGGAAAGGCCCACCAAGGCGACGAUCCGUAGCUGGUCUGAGGGGAUGAUCAGCCACACUGGAACUGAGACACGGUCCAGACUCCUACGGGAGGCAGCAGUGGGGAAUAUUGGACAAUGGGCGCAAGCCUGAUCCAGCCAUACCGCGUGGGUGAAGAAGGCCUUCGGGUUGUAAAGCCCUUUUGUUGGGAAAGAAAAGCAGCAGGUUAAUACCCCGCUGUUCUGACGGUACCCAAAGAAUAAGCACCGGCUAACUUCGU
Molecule: ribosomal RNA, 491 nt
Filed under: uncultured bacterium
Lineage: Bacteria
Description: partial 16S ribosomal RNA
Rfam family: Bacterial small subunit ribosomal RNA
Source: RNAcentral